GAAUUUAUUCUUAUUUGUAGAAUUAAAAAGAGUAUGUCUCAAACAAAGAGAAAGAAAGAAAUAGAUAUUACAUGGAAUCAUUGUGAGAGUGUUCCUCCUCAUAGACUUUUAGUCAAGUGCAAAUAUUGUUCACAUACUUGUUGGGAUGGUGUAGCAAGAAUUAAACAUCAUCUUGCUGGAACAAAGGAGAAUGUCAUUGCUUGUACAUCUGUUCCUGAUGAUGUUAGAGAAAUGUUUUUGAAGUUGUUAGAAGAUAAAGAAAAAAUAAAAGAAGCAAAUCGGGUAGACUGUUUUGAAGAAACAAAUAUUCAAUGUAGUAAGAAGGGGAAACAAGGAGUUGCAAAACAGACAACCAUAAAUGAAAUGUUUAAAGAUAGAGAGUUGGUGAUUCAAGAUAUUUGCAACUGCAUAUAUGGGAAUGCUUUGCCAUUUAAUUUGGUAAGAAGCUCCUUAUUUACCCAAAUGUUGAAAUCUGUUGGGGAAUAUGGAAAGGGUUUAAAGCCUCCAACUUAUCAUGAAGAUAGAGUAUCUUAUCUGAAAAAAGUGGUUGACAAUAUCCAAGCUAGUUUGGAGAAAUAUAAGGUUGAAUGGGAAAAAUGGGGAUGCACUUUGAUGUGUGAUGGUUGGAUAGAUGGAAAAGGGAGGUCUCUUACCAACUUUUUAGUUAAUAGUCCAAGCGGAACAAUGUUCUUAAAAUCUAUUGAUACUAGUAAUGUGAUCAAGGAUGCUAAACAAAUGUUUGAAUUGUUAGAUUCUGUGAUUGAAGAAAUUGGGGAGGAUAAUGUCGUGCAAGUUGUGACAGAUGUUGCUUCUAAUUUUGUGGCAGCAGGAAAGAUGUUAGAAGAGAAGAGAACUAAACUAUUUUGGUCUCCGUGUGCAGCUCAUUGUCUUGACUUAAUUCUUGAAGACAUUGGUGAACUUCCAGUAUUUUACAAUACGAUUGCAAAUGCAAAAAAAGUCACAACUUUCAUUUAUAGACACACAUGGGUCCUAAAUUUAUAUAGAAAAUAUUCUAAAGGAAAAGAAUUAGCUCGACCAGCAGUCACAAGAUUUGCAACUGCUUUUCUAACCCUUCAGUGUAUAGCACAACAGAGAAAUGCUCUUCGAGGUAUGUUUGUUUUAGAAGCAUGGACAACUACUAAACAUGCUAGUAAGACUAAAGGUAAACAAGUAGUGAGCAUUGUUUUAUCUGAUGUUAGAUUUUGGAAAUCUAUCCAAUAUUGCCUGAAAUGUGUCACUCCACUUGUAAAAAUACUAAGGCUUGUGGAUGGAGACUCAAAACUUGCAAUGACAUAUAUUUAUGAAGCUAUGGAUAGAGCUAAAGAGCAAAUAGUUGCAAAUUUCAAGAAUGAAGAAUCUCGUUAUAAAAAGGUGUGGAAAAUAAUUGAUACUCGUUGGAAUUUGCAGUUACAUAGACCUCUUCAUGCUGCUGCUUACUACCUUAAUUAUUUCAUUAUGACAAAAGCUUCAAUCCGGAUGAAGAGGUUUCAUAUGGUUUGUAUGAGACCAUAGAAAAAAUGAUCCCUGAUAGAGAAGGAUUAGAUUUCAACUUGAUCAACAACUUGAUAGAUUUAAGAAAGCCCAAGGAUUAUUUGGAAGAAGCAUGGCAAUUGACACUAGGGAUAAGAAGCAACCUGCUCUUUGGUGGGAAAGUUAUGGUGUUGAAGGUAAAGAGUUGCAAAAUCUAGCAAUGAGAAUUUUAAGUCUCACGUGUAGUGCUACUGGUUGUGAAAGAAACUGGAGCAUAUUUGAUCAAGUCCAUACCAAAAGAAGAAACCGCUUGGAACAACAAAGAUUAAAUGCUCUUGUCUUUGUUAAAUAUAAUCUUCAACUUGAAAUGAGACAAAAGGUUAGAGAAGAGAAAGGAGAUACUUAUGAUCCUAUAUGUCUAUCUGAUAUUGAAUCAGAUGAUGAGUGGAUUACUGAAAAAGAGGAUCCUUGUCUACCAAACGAUGUUUCAUGGAUGGAUAUACAUGAAUCUUUUACUCUUGAAGAGGGAGCUCCAAGCAAGAAAAGGAAGAGGGGUCCAAGAAACUUAAACAUAAAGGGAAAAUCUACUACACCAGCAAAUGAUGAUGGAAUUGAAAGGAUGGUUGAAGAAGUUGAGGAAGAGGAUGAAGAAGAUGAAGAUGUGUUGCCACAGAAUGUUAUAUUAGAUGAAGUAGAUGAUCUAAGUGACAUUGAUCUUGGAGAUGAUGAAUGAAAGAAUAAAAUUAAGAUGUAACAUUUAAAUUGGAGAUCUUGAUUUAAUUAUAAUAUAUGAUAUUUUUAAUGUUUUUUAUUUAUCAUGUAUCUUACGAUUCAAAGUAAGA
This is an unclassified non-coding RNA of Vigna unguiculata (cowpea), 2312 nucleotides long. Lineage: Eukaryota; Viridiplantae; Streptophyta; Magnoliopsida; Fabales; Fabaceae. The record is from RefSeq and is a predicted model, not a curated record.